This 460-nucleotide ribosomal RNA is filed under the name uncultured bacterium. RNAcentral's name for it is "partial 16S ribosomal RNA". It matches the Rfam family "Bacterial small subunit ribosomal RNA", at positions 338 to 795 of the family's 1533-position model. The record is from RNAcentral.
CCUACGGGUGGCAGCAGUGAGGAAUAUUGGUCAAUGGACGAGAGUCUGAACCAGCCAAGUAGCGUGAAGGAUGACUGCCCUAUGGGUUGUAAACUUCUUUUAUAAAGGAAUAAAACGAGGCACGUGUGCCUUUUUGCAUGUACUUUAUGAAUAAGGAUCGGCUAACUCCGUGCCAGCAGCCGCGGUAAUACGGAGGAUCCGAGCGUUAUCCGGAUUUAUUGGGUUUAAAGGGAGCGUAGAUGGGUUGUUAAGUCAGUUGUGAAAGUUUGCGGCUCAACCGUAAAAUUGCAAUUGAUACUGGCAGUCGUGAGUACAGUUGAGGUAAGCGGAAUUCGUGGUGUAGCGGUGAAAUGCUUAGAUAUCACGAAGAACCCCGAUUGCGAAGGCAGCUUACUAAACUGUGACUGACAUUGAUGCUCGAAAGUGUGGGUAUCAAACAGGAUUAGAUAUCCCGGUAGUC